UGAGGCUGGAAUUGCUAGUAAUGGCAGGUCAGCAUACUGCCGUGAAUACGUUCCCGGGCCUUGUACACACCGCCCGUCACACCAUGAGAGUUGGAAAUACCCGAAGCCUGUGAGCUAACUUAAAGAGGCAGCAGUCGAAGGUGGAGCCAAUGAUUGGGGUGAAGUCGUAACAAGGUAAC
RNAcentral lists this ribosomal RNA (179 nucleotides) under uncultured bacterium. RNAcentral's name for it is "partial 16S ribosomal RNA". It matches the Rfam family "Bacterial small subunit ribosomal RNA", at positions 1321 to 1500 of the family's 1533-position model. The record is from RNAcentral.